GAUGAACGCUGGCGGCGUGCCUAAUACAUGCAAGUCGAGCGAACAGACGAGGAGCUUGCUCCUCCGACGUUAGCGGCGGACGGGUGAGUCACACGUGGAUAACCUACCUAUAAGACUGGGAUAAGUUCUGGAAACCGGAACUAAUAACGGAUAAUAUAUUGAACCGCAUGGUUCAAUCGUGAAAGGCGGUUUUGCUGUCACUUAUAGAUGGAUCCGCGCCGCAUUAGCUAGUUGGCAAGGUAACGGCUUACCAAGGCAACGAUGCGUAGCCGACCUGAGAGGGUGAUCGGCCACACUGGAACUGAGACACGGUCCAGACUCCUACGGGAGGCAGCAGUAGGGAAUCUUCCGCAAUGGGCGAAAGCCUGACGGAGCAACGCCGCGUGAGUGAUGAAGGUCUUCGGAUCGUAAAACGCUGUUAUUAGGGAAGAACAAAUGUGUGAGUAACCAUGCAGGUCUUGACGGUACCUGAAGAAAAAGCCACGGCUAACUACGUG
This 497-nucleotide ribosomal RNA is filed under the name uncultured bacterium. RNAcentral describes it as "partial 16S ribosomal RNA". It matches the Rfam family "Bacterial small subunit ribosomal RNA", at positions 28 to 507 of the family's 1533-position model. The record is from RNAcentral.